This 558-nucleotide ribosomal RNA is filed under the name uncultured archaeon. RNAcentral describes it as "bacterial SSU rRNA". It matches the Rfam family "Archaeal small subunit ribosomal RNA", at positions 321 to 879 of the family's 1478-position model. The record is from RNAcentral.
CCCUACGGGGUGCAGCAGGCGCGAACACUUUACAAUGCGGGAAACCGCGAUAAGGGAACCCCGAGUGCCAGCACCAAGUGUUGGCUGUCCGGAUGAUUAAAAAUCAUUUGUUAGCAAGGGCCGGGCAAGACCGGUGCCAGCCGCCGCGGUAACACCGGCGGCCCGAGUGGUAGCCGUUUUUAUUGGGUCUAAAGGGUCCGUAGCCGGCUUGAUAAGUCUUUUGGGAAAUCUGGCAGCUUAACUGUCAGGCUUCUAAGGGAUACUGUCAGGCUUGGGACCGGAAGAGGUAAGGGGUACUCCAGGGGUAGGAGUGAAAUCUUGUAAUCCCUGGGGGACCAUCUGUGGCGAAGGCGCCUUACCAGAACGGGUCCGACGGUGAGGGACGAAAGCUAGGGGAGCAAACCGGAUUAGGUACCCGGGUAGUCCUAGCUGUAAACGAUGCUCGCUAUGUGUCAGGUACGGUGUGACCGUAUCUGGUGCCGUAGGGAAGCCGUGAAGCGAGCCACCUGGGAAGUACGGCCGCAAGGCUGAAACUUAAAGGAAUUGGCGGGGGAGCAC